RNAcentral lists this ribosomal RNA (397 nucleotides) under uncultured bacterium. Its description in RNAcentral is "partial 16S ribosomal RNA". It matches the Rfam family "Bacterial small subunit ribosomal RNA", at positions 523 to 918 of the family's 1533-position model. The record is from RNAcentral.
AUACGUAGGGGGCAAGCGUUAUCCGGAUUUACUGGGUGUAAAGGGAGCGUAGACGGUUUGGCAAGUCUGAUGUGAAAGCCCGGGGCUCAACCGCGGGACUGCAUUGGAAACUGUCAGACUUGAGUGCAGGAGAGGUAAGUGGAAUUCCUAGUGUAGCGGUGAAAUGCGUAGAUAUUAGGAGGAACACCGGUGGCGAAGGCGGCUUACUGGUCUGUAACUGACGUUGAGGCGCGAAAGCGUGGGGAGCAAACAGGAUUAGAUCCCCUGGUAGUCCACGCCGUAAACGAUGAAUACUAGGUGUUGGGAGACAAUAGUUUCUCGGUGCCGCAGCAAACGCAAUAAGUAUUCCACCUGGGGAGUACGUUCGCAAGAAUGAAACUCAAAUGAAUUGACGGGG